This 68-nucleotide transfer RNA is filed under the name Ictidomys tridecemlineatus (thirteen-lined ground squirrel). RNAcentral's name for it is "Spermophilus tridecemlineatus (thirteen-lined ground squirrel) tRNA". It matches the Rfam family "tRNA". Rfam says of the family: Transfer RNA (tRNA) molecules are approximately 80 nucleotides in length. Their secondary structure includes four short double-helical elements and three loops (D, anti-codon, and T loops). The record is from Rfam by way of RNAcentral. RNAcentral also lists the same sequence under 1 other name. Lineage: Eukaryota; Metazoa; Chordata; Mammalia; Rodentia; Sciuridae.
GGGGUUAUAGCUCAAUGGUGGAGCACUUGCCUUGCAUGCACGAGGCCCUGGGUUCAACCCCAGCACCA